CAGCCGCCACGGUAAUACGUAGGGUGCAAGCGUUGUCCGGAAUUAUUGGGCGUAAAGAGCUCGUAGGCGGUUUGUCGCGUCUGCUGUGAAAUCCCGAGGCUCAACCUCGGGCUUGCAGUGGGUACGGGCAGACUAGAGUGCGGUAGGGGAGAUUGGAAUUCCUGGUGUAGCGGUGGAAUGCGCAGAUAUCAGGAGGAACACCGAUGGCGAAGGCAGAUCUCUGGGCCGUAACUGACGCUGAGGAGCGAAAGCGUGGGGAGCGAACAGGAUUAGAUACCCCAGUAGUCCCUGUCUCUUAUAC
This 301-nucleotide ribosomal RNA is filed under the name uncultured bacterium. RNAcentral's name for it is "partial 16S ribosomal RNA". It matches the Rfam family "Bacterial small subunit ribosomal RNA", at positions 509 to 807 of the family's 1533-position model. The record is from RNAcentral.